UUGAGGGCUCUUAACUUCUCUCUAGUUUAUAUUGUAGCAAAUCUGCUUUUUAAGAAGCUCAGUUUUUCUGUUUGUUUCUUAUUCUUUCCAUAUUUUCUUUGCUUGAUUCAAUCGGGGGAUUGAAUCAAGGGUGUAGAGGUUGGUUGGUGAGCCGAGUGUAAAACCAACGUGUAAGGGUUCGAUUGUGAUUCCGGAAAAACAAUCGGGGUUGGUUCUAGUCGGUGAGCCUGGGAAAACCGACCGAGUUCGUUGUGAGCUCGUAAAACAACAAGUUUGGUUGUGAGCUUGAAAAACAACCGGCUGUAAUCCAAGGGGUUAUAGUGAAUUCCCAAGUGAGACUUGGGGAGUGGACGUAGGAGCAAGGGUUAGCUCCGAACCACUAUAAACAUCGUGUUUGUGAUUGCUUGUCUCUCUUUCUCUCAUUCUCAUUUCACUCACAGCACAUAGCAACUAAUUAAUCA
Molecule: long non-coding RNA, 461 nt
Filed under: Phoenix dactylifera (date palm)
Lineage: Eukaryota; Viridiplantae; Streptophyta; Magnoliopsida; Arecales; Arecaceae
Description: long non-coding RNA (PDAC_LNC011745)
Source: RNAcentral